GAAUUGGAGGUCAAUAAGCAGAAAUUUGAGGGGAAAAAUGAAAAUCUGAGGGGAAAAAACAUGAAUUUGCAGGGGUAAAGUAGAAAUGUGAGGAAUGGGAGGUUUUUUUGGGAUUUAAGUGGGAAUUCCGGACUCACUUGCACUCGGCCUCGGCGUCGGCCUUGGCUGUGGUGUAGAGCCCGCGGAGCUUGGUGCG
This is a long non-coding RNA of Poecile atricapillus (Black-capped chickadee), 196 nucleotides long. RefSeq lists it as uncharacterized. The transcript has 3 exons. The record is from RefSeq and is a predicted model, not a curated record. NCBI's taxonomy places the organism in Eukaryota, Metazoa, Chordata, Aves, Passeriformes, Paridae.